UACGUAGGGUGCGAGCGUUAAUCGGAAUUACUGGGCGUAAAGCGUGCGCAGGCGGCGCGUUAAGACAGGUGUGAAAGCCCCGAGCUUAACUUGGGAAUUGCGCUUGUGACUGGCGUGCUGGAGUGUGGCAGAGGGAGGUGGAAUUCCACGUGUAGCAGUGAAAUGCGUAGAGAUGUGGAGGAACACCGAUGGCGAAGGCAAUCCCCUGGGCCUGCACUGACGCUCAUGCACGAAAGCGUGGGGAGCAAACAGG
This 253-nucleotide ribosomal RNA is filed under the name uncultured bacterium. RNAcentral's name for it is "partial 16S ribosomal RNA". It matches the Rfam family "Bacterial small subunit ribosomal RNA", at positions 524 to 776 of the family's 1533-position model. The record is from RNAcentral.